GAGACAGCAGUAGCCGCGGGAAUACGUAGGGUGCAAGCGUUAUCCGGAAUUAUUGGGCGUAAAGAGCUCGUAGGCGGUUUGUCGCGUCUGCUGUGAAAACUAGAGGCUCAACCUCCAGCCUGCAGUGGGUACGGGCAGACUAGAGUGCGGUAGGGGAGAUUGGAAUUCCUGGUGUAGCGGUGGAAUGCGCAGAUAUCAGGAGGAACACCGAUGGCGAAGGCAGAUCUCUGGGCCGUAACUGACGCUGAGGAGCGAAAGCGUGGGGAGCGAACAGGAUUAGAUACCCGCGUAGUCCCUGUCUCUUAUAU
Molecule: ribosomal RNA, 308 nt
Filed under: uncultured bacterium
Lineage: Bacteria
Description: partial 16S ribosomal RNA
Rfam family: Bacterial small subunit ribosomal RNA
Source: RNAcentral